RNAcentral lists this long non-coding RNA (1873 nucleotides) under Varroa destructor (honeybee mite). RNAcentral describes it as "uncharacterized LOC111244485". The record is from RNAcentral. Lineage: Eukaryota; Metazoa; Arthropoda; Arachnida; Mesostigmata; Varroidae.
CGGAACGGACGACGGCAAAAGGCGACUCCCGUGUCUACCAGUGCAAUUUGUUAAAAGCCAAAAGACGGCAUAGAUGUCUGCAUACAAUGCAUGUUACUAAGCGAAACCUGCAAUGGCUUUGCCUUUUCUUCUAAAAGGAGGCCGCGAGUGUUUGCCUGAUGCGGCCGUGUCACCUGGCGGCCAAGGACUUGAUGGUUAAGGGCAGAUGCAUUAUGCAGGCCAGGCACUGAAUUGUGUUUCGUCCAGUACUGCGGGACUCUCACCCACUAAACCCUGGACCUCCUUAUCAGCUUGGAUCAUGGUUCGGGAUAUGUUUGAUAUUACUUCGAAACCAUGACUUGCAGGAACGGUCAUUUCAUCAUCCUUCCCUUUGAACCGUUCCAGUCCACCCUCCGUUCUGGCUUUCCUCUUGACCAGGUACUCUAGGUCUCAAGGGGAACCGUGCUCCCUGUUCUCCUGUUAAUUCCAAUUGUACUGCGUCGGUCCCAUGAUUGUUUCGGGCCUGCCCUUCUGCUAUUCUCUUACGUCUCGUCCUUUCUAGUUGUUCCUUUCUUUUCAUAACAUCGUCAAAGAAAGCCGUAACUUUGGCCCAGUUCGUCCUGUCUUUUGUCAUCAUAUCCACCAUUUCCUUAGUACUGCCCUUUGCUACGACCCUUCUGUGUACCUGCUUGUCUCUGACCGCUUUAAGUACCUGACAGUGAAGAAGAGUAUGUUCUACUCCGUCCUUCAUGCCCGACACGCAGAGUACACAUAUGUCUGCUUAAAUUUAUGUUGCUUUGUGUUGCAUAUGCGAUCCGGUGAUGGCGUGGCCGACGACGAUGAGGCUGAAGAGUUCGUAAAAUAAAAAGGAAUGCCGUGGGAUUGCGCUUAAAAAUGGCUCGAAGUAUCUGUGAUUUUGGAUCGUGGCGCCACGAACUAACAGCCCUCAGUAUUCGGGUUGAUACAUUGUCGAACCAUAUCAAUGUUUCAGAGUUUACCUAUUUCCUUGAAUAGAUAAUACUUAGCCGCUCGCAGCCAUGAUUUCCUCAUGUCUAUUACGCAACACAGCAACAUAUUCAAUGAGUAAAAGAUGGCGACGAUGUUAAAAUCUAUGAUACAUUUGGAUAUAAUUGGCGACUUUUGAUCAAUCCCGUCGACCGCGUCAAGUUUCAAGGAGGUCAACUUUGAUUUCGGCGUAAGAAAUUGAGCAGACUCAGAAUAGACGUCCCUUAUACCCUGCGCAAAUUCUACGGCAUGUACUACUUAUUAAACACAAUGAGCGUUUGUAUGUAUAGCCACUAGAGAAUUAAUAUUACUAGAAGAGAACUAUCGCCACUAAAUGAUUCAGAUUGUUUUAGUAACACUGUAGAAAUGUGUGCACGUUAAAAACAGAAAAAAAUCAUCAUAUUAUUUCAAAUGCCUAUAGCGAAUGCUCUGCUUCGCAGGCCAAAGUUAUUGACUUCAUCAUAUAAUAAGCAUAUUAUUAAAUCAAUAGUAUUACUUAUUUUCUUACAUUUUGGCUGUGGUAUUUCUGUGGUAUUGUCGAAUGCUUGAAAACAAUCGAGCCACGCUAUAACCGAAUAGGGGAGAGCUCUUAUACUAUUUAGACGUUGUUGUAUUUCAGAUAAACAGGUAUGUCGAUACCACCCGGUAGUAUAAGGUAAAAUAAGUCAAUAUAGUUCUCAGAUGAGAAUAAUUUUACGUUUUUAUAAUAUGUUAAAGUGAAUUUAAUUAAGAUAGAUUAUGCUGUACACUUAAGUUUAAGGAAAACUUCAAGUCGACUUCCAUUGGAUUUAGUUUUUGCGUUUUUUUUUUUAAUUAACUUAAAAACUCAGAGAAAACAACACUAAAUCACGGUGGCCAUGCAUAUUAAGAUCCGUGCACAUUAUUAUAU